AAGGAUCAUUAUCAAAAGUCAAGUCGGGGGCUGUAAAGCUCUCGUCUACACCCAUGUCUUUUGCGUACUCUUGUUUCCUCGGUGGCGCAAGCUGCCGAUUGGACAAACCAAAACCUUUUUUGUAAUUGCAAUCAGCGUCUGAAAAUAAUCUAAUUAUUUACAACUUUCAACAACGGAUCUCUUGGUUCUGGCAUCGAUGAAGAACGCAGCGAAAUGCGAUAAGUAGUGUGAAUUGCAGAAUUCAGUGAAUCAUCGAAUCUUUGAACGCACAUUGCGCCCCUUGGUAUUCCAUGGGGCAUGCCUGUUCGAGCGUCAUUUGUACCCUCAAGCUUUGCUUGGUGUUGGGCGUCUUGUCGUAUUACGACUCGCCUUAAAUCUAUUGGCAGCCGGCACUUUGGCCUAGGAGCGCAGCACAUUUUGCGAUCGUAGCCCGUUGUACUGGCGUCCAUCAAGAACAUUUACCACGUUUGACCUCGGAUCAGGUAGGGAUACCCGCUGAAC
RNAcentral lists this ribosomal RNA (501 nucleotides) under uncultured Setophoma. RNAcentral describes it as "eukaryotic LSU rRNA". The stretch from base 162 to 315 matches the Rfam family "5.8S ribosomal RNA". The record is from RNAcentral. Lineage: Eukaryota; Fungi; Ascomycota; Dothideomycetes; Pleosporales; Phaeosphaeriaceae.